GGCUGGUCUGAGUGCAGUAGUUUCACAAUUAAUUGAUCACAGCCAGUUACAGAUUUUUUUGUUCCUUCUCCACUCCCCCAUGCUUCAUUUGACUAGCAAAU
Molecule: unclassified non-coding RNA, 101 nt
Organism: Mustela putorius furo (domestic ferret)
Lineage: Eukaryota; Metazoa; Chordata; Mammalia; Carnivora; Mustelidae
Rfam family: Y RNA
About the family: Y RNAs are components of the Ro ribonucleoprotein particle (Ro RNP), in association with Ro60 and La proteins. The Y RNAs and Ro60 and La proteins are well conserved, but the function of the Ro RNP is not known.
Source: Ensembl